This 795-nucleotide ribosomal RNA is filed under the name uncultured bacterium. Its description in RNAcentral is "bacterial SSU rRNA". It matches the Rfam family "Bacterial small subunit ribosomal RNA", at positions 8 to 796 of the family's 1533-position model. The record is from RNAcentral.
AGAGUUUGAUCAUGGCUCAGAUUGAACGCUGGCGGCAUGCCUUACACAUGCAAGUCGAGCGGCAGCGCGGGGGCAACCCUGGCGGCGAGCGGCGAACGGGUGAGUAAUGCAUCGGAACGUGUCCUUUUGUGGGGGAUAACCAGUCGAAAGACUGGCUAAUACCGCAUGAGCUCGAGAGAGGAAAGCAGGGGAUCCGCAAGGACCUUGCGCGAGAGGAGCGGCCGAUGCCCGAUUAGCUAGUUGGUGAGGUAACGGCUCACCAAGGCGACGAUCGGUAGCUGGUUUGAGAGAACGACCAGCCACACUGGGACUGAGACACGGCCCAGACUCCUACGGGAGGCAGCAGUGGGGAAUUUUGGACAAUGGGGGCAACCCUGAUCCAGCCAUGCCGCGUGUGUGAAGAAGGCCUUCGGGUUGUGAAGCACUUUCAGACGGAACGAAAUCGCGCGGGUUAAUAGUCCGCGUGGAUGACGGUACCGUAAGAAGAAGCACCGGCUAACUACGUGCCAGCAGCCGCGGUAAUACGUAGGGUGCGAGCGUUAAUCGGAAUUACUGGGCGUAAAGUGUGCGCAGGCGGCUCUGCAAGUCGAGUGUGAAAUCCCCGGGCUUAACUUGGGAAUGGCGCUCGAAACUACGGAGCUGGAGUAUGGCAGAGGGAGGUGGAAUUCCACGUGUAGCGGUGAAAUGCGUAGAGAUGUGGAGGAACACCAAUGGCGAAGGCAGCCUCCUGGGCCAAUACUGACGCUCAUGCACGAAAGCGUGGGGAGCAAACAGGAUUAGAUACCCUAGUAGUCC